UACGUAGGGGGCUAGCGUUGUCCGGAAUUAUUGGGCGUAAAGAGCGUGUAGGCGGUCCGGUAAGUCGGCUGUGAAAGUCCAGGGCUCAACCCUGGGAUGCCGGUCGAUACUGCCGGACUAGAGUUCGGAAGAGGCGAGUGGAAUUCCCGGGUGUAGCGGUGAAAUGCGCAGAUAUCGGGGAAGAACACCUGACUAGGCGAAGGCAGCUGCG
Molecule: ribosomal RNA, 211 nt
Filed under: uncultured bacterium
Lineage: Bacteria
Description: partial 16S ribosomal RNA
Rfam family: Bacterial small subunit ribosomal RNA
Source: RNAcentral